Molecule: ribosomal RNA, 770 nt
Filed under: anaerobic methanogenic archaeon ET1-9
Lineage: Archaea
Description: bacterial SSU rRNA
Rfam family: Archaeal small subunit ribosomal RNA
Source: RNAcentral
ACCUGACCAAAGGUCCGGGAUAACCCCGGGAAACUGGGGAUAAUACCGGAUAAAUCACAAGUACUGGAAGGUUUUGUGGUUGAAACUUCCGGGGCCUUUGGAUGGGUCUGCGGCUGAUUAGGUUGUUGCCGGUGUAACGUACCGUCAAGCCUGUAAUCAGUACGGGUUGUGGGAGCAAGAGCCCGGAGAUGGAUUCUGAGACACGAAUCCAGGCCCUACGGGGCGCAGCAGGCGCGAAAACUCUACAAUGCAGGCAACUGCGAUAGGGGAACAUCGAGUGAUACUCAUCUUGGGUGUCUGUCCUCCCGUCUAAAAAACGGGAGUUAGCAAGGGCCGGGCAAGACCGGUGCCAGCCGCCGCGGUAAUACCGGCGGCUCGAGUGGUGGCCGAUAUUAUUGAGUCUAAAGGGUCCGUAGCCGGCUUUGCAAGUCUUUUGGGAAAUCCAGCGGCUUAACCGUUGGUCGUCCGGGAGAUACUACAUUGCUUGGGACUGGGAGAGGUAGGAGGUACUCAGGGGGUAGGAGUGAAAUCCUGUAAUCCUUUGGGGACCACCGGUGGCGAAGGCGUCCUACCAGAACAGGUCCGACGGUGAGGGACGAAAGCUAGGGGCACGAACCGGAUUAGAUACCCGGGUAGUCCUAGCCGUAAACGAUGCUCGCUAGGUGUCACAACAAUCGUGAAUUGUUGUGGUGCCGUAGGGAAGCCGUGAAGCGAGCCACUUGGGAAGUACGACCGCAAGGUUGAAACUUAAAGGAAUUGGCGGGGGAGCA